RNAcentral lists this long non-coding RNA (11037 nucleotides) under Xyrichtys novacula (pearly razorfish). The record is from RNAcentral. Lineage: Eukaryota; Metazoa; Chordata; Actinopteri; Labriformes; Labridae.
GCAUUUUCUUGUUUGGGCGACUUCGGAAUAUCAAAUUUUUCACCAGGCCCGGUCGUCCUGCCAAAUUUCAUGAGUUUUCGCCAGUGGGAAGUGGGCCAUUUUCCAGUUCAAAGGGGAGGAAAAAUAAUAAUAAUAACAAACUAGGGCCCCGUUGGGGCACUGGCGGGCCCGAGCUGUGUCGCGCCGCCCCCAACACGACCGCCUCUCCCUCCCGAUCGCGUCACACUCAAGGUCCAAAGAUGGUGUGCACACUUGUCUGUGGUCAUUUACCAUUAUAAUGAAUGGGAGGCGCAGUUUCUACCAAAACGCUCGCUGCAGACAAACUGUCCUAUUUGAAAAAAGUCUGGACCAUGAGUGAGGGCACAAACACAGCUAGGAUAUAUCCAAAUGGCAAGUUUCUCCUCCUUUCGGUUUUGCCGAGAGAGCGAUGUGUUUGAGCCGUUGAGCGAUGGGCAGGAAAAACUAGACUUUUUCUCCUGCCAUGGGGGGGGCACUCUUUUAGGGAGUAAAAAUUCCUUCACAAAUGUGUUGAUGGCUGGACAUUGCAUCAUCCUAGAAAACUUGGAGGCCAGUGAGGACAAAAAUAAAAAGUUAUAAGACUUUGAAAUAUGUGGAUUUUAGGGUUAUCUUUGGCGCCCCCUAGAACCUAAACCGUGGGGUGCAGCGUCAUGAUUUGAAUAACUUUUAAUGGCCAUGGGGUGUAGAUUGGCCUGAGCAAAUGUGGUGGCGGUGGAACAAAAGCCUUCGGAGGAGUUAGCGAAAUUCCAAUGUGUACGGAUCGCCAAAAAAUGCGAAAUAGCCCUUUAACCGUACAUUUGACAGAUACGCCCGCAUUGACUUUUUCGUAGAUAUUAUUGAGAUACACCUGUGUGCCAAAUUUUGUGUCAUUUUGACAAAGUGUAGAGGCGUGACACUCAACAAUGUGUAUUUUCACCUUAGGGGACAAGAAAAAAUGGACUUUUUCUCCUGCCAUGGGGGGGCGCUCUUUUGGGGAGUAAAAAUUCCUUCACAAAUGUGUUGAUGGCUGGACAUUGCAUCAUCCUAGAAAACUUGGAGGCCAGUGAGGACAAAAAUAAAAAGUUAUAAGACUUUGAAAUAUGUGGAUUUUUGGGUUAUCUUUGGCGCCCCCUAGAACCUAAACCGUGGGGUGCAGCGUCAUGAUUUGAAUAACUUUUAAUGGCCAUGGGGUGUAGAUUGGCCUGAGCAAAUGUGGUGCCGGUGGAACAAAAGCCUUCGGAGGAGUUAGCGAAAUUCCAAUGUGUACGGAUCGCCAAAAAAUGCGAAAUAGCCCUUUAACCGUACAUUUGACAGAUACGCCCGCAUUGACUUUUUCGUAGAUCUUAUUGAGACACACCUGUGUGCCAAAUUUUGUGUCAUUUUGACAAAGUGUAGAGGCGUGACACUCAACAAUGUGUAUUUUCACCUUAGGGGACAAGUAAAAAUGGACUUUUUUCUCCUGCCAUGGGGGGCGCUCUUUUGGGGAGAAAAAAUUCCUUCACAAAUGUGUUGAUGGCUGGACAUUGCAUCAUCCUAGAAAACUUGGAGGCCAGUGAGGACAAAAAUAAAAAGUUAUAAGACUUUUAAAUAUGUGGAUUUUAGGGUUAUCUUUGGCGCCCCCUAGAACCUAAACCGUGGGGUGCAGCGUCAUGAUUUGAAUAACUUUUAAUGGCCAUGGGGUGUAGAUUGGCCUGAGCAAAUGUGGUGCCGGUGGAACAAAAGCCUUCGGAGGAGUUAGCGAAAUUCCAAUGUGUACGGAUCGCCAAAAAAUGCGAAAUAGCCCUUUAACCGUACAUUUGACAGAUACGCCCGCAUUGACUUUUUUGUAGAUCUUAUUGAGACACACCUGUGUGCCAAAUUUUGUGUCAUUUUGACAAAGUGUAGAGGCGUGACACUCAACAAUGUGUAUUUUCACCUUAGGGGACAAGAAAAAAUGGACUUUUUUCUCCUGCCAUGGGGGGGCGCUCUUUUGGGGAGUAAAAAUUCCUUCACAAAUGUGUUGAUGGCUGGACAUUGCAUCAUCCUAGAAAACUUGGAGGCCAGUGAGGACAAAAAUAAAAAGUUAUAAGACUUUUAAAUAUGUGGAUUUUUGGGUUAUCUUUGGCGCCCCCUAGAACCUAAACCGUGGGGUGCAGCGUCAUGAUUUGAAUAACUUUUAAUGGCCAUGGGGUGUAGAUUGGCCUGAGCAAAUGUGGUGCCGGUGGAACAAAAGCCUUCGGAGGAGUUAGCGAAAUUCCAAUGUGUACGGAUCGCCAAAAAAUGCGAAAUAGCCCUUUAACCGUACAUUUGACAGAUACGCCCGCAUUGACUUUUUCGUAGAUCUUAUUGAGACACACCUGUGUGCCAAAUUUUGUGUCAUUUUGACAAAGUGUAGAGGCGUGACACUCAACAAUGUGUAUUUUCACCUUAGGGGACAAGUAAAAAUGGACUUUUUUCUCCUGCCAUGGGGGGGCGCUCUUUUGGGGAGAAAAAAUUCCUUCACAAAUGUGUUGAUGGCUGGACAUUGCAUCAUCCUAGAAAACUUGGAGGCCAGUGAGGACAAAAAUAAAAAGUUAUAAGACUUUUAAAUAUGUGGAUUUUUGGGUUAUCUUUGGUGCCCCCUAGAACCUAAACCGUGGGGUGCAGCGUCAUGAUUUGAAUAACUUUUAAUGGCCAUGGGGUGUAGAUUGGCCUGAGCAAAUGUGGUGCCGGUGGAACAAAAGCCUUCGGAGGAGUUAGCGAAAUUCCAAUGUGUACGGAUCGCCAAAAAAUGCGAAAUAGCCCUUUAACCGUACAUUUGACAGAUACGCCCGCAUUGACUUUUUUGUAGAUCUUAUUGAGACACACCUGUGUGCCAAAUUUUGUGUCAUUUUGACAAAGUGUAGAGGCGUGACACUCAACAAUGUGUAUUUUCACCUUAGGGGACAAGAAAAAAUGGACUUUUUUCUCCUGCCAUGGGGGGCGCUCUUUUGGGGAGUAAAAAUUCCUUCACAAAUGUGUUGAUGGCUGGACAUUGCAUCAUCCUAGAAAACUUGGAGGCCAGUGAGGACAAAAAUAAAAAGUUAUAAGACUUUUAAAUAUGUGGAUUUUUGGGUUAUCUUUGGUGCCCCCUAGAACCUAAACCGUGGGGUGCAGCGUCAUGAUUUGAAUAACUUUUAAUGGCCAUGGGGUGUAGAUUGGCCUGAGCAAAUGUGGUGCCGGUGGAACAAAAGCCUUCGGAGGAGUUAGCGAAAUUCCAAUGUGUACGGAUCGCCAAAAAAUGCGAAAUAGCCCUUUAACCGUACAUUUGACAGAUACGCCCGCAUUGACUUUUUCGUAGAUCUUAUUGAGACACACCUGUGUGCCAAAUUUUGUGUCAUUUUGACAAAGUGUAGAGGCGUGACACUCAACAAUGUGUAUUUUCACCUUAGGGGACAAGUAAAAAUGGACUUUUUUCUCCUGCCAUGGGGGGGCGCUCUUUUGGGGAGAAAAAAUUCCUUCACAAAUGUGUUGAUGGCUGGACAUUGCAUCAUCCUAGAAAACUUGGAGGCCAGUGAGGACAAAAAUAAAAAGUUAUAAGACUUUUAAAUAUGUGGAUUUUAGGGUUAUCUUUGGCGCCCCCUAGAACCUAAACCGUGGGGUGCAGCGUCAUGAUUUGAAUAACUUUUAAUGGCCAUGGGGUGUAGAUUGGCCUGAGCAAAUGUGGUGCCGGUGGAACAAAAGCCUUCGGAGGAGUUAGCGAAAUUCCAAUGUGUACGGAUCGCCAAAAAAUGCGAAAUAGCCCUUUAACCGUACAUUUGACAGAUACGCCCGCACUGACUUUUUUGUAGAUCUUAUUGAGAUACAUGUGUGUGUCAAAUUUUGUGUCAAUAUGACAAAGCGUACAGGCGUGACACUCAACAAUGUGUAUUUUCACCUUAGGGGACAGGAAAAAAUGGACUUUUUUCUCCUGCCAUGGGGGGGCGCUCUUUUGGGGAUUAAAAAUUCCUUCACAAAUGUGUUGAUGGCUGGACAUUGCAUCAUCCUAGAAAACUUGGAGGCCAGUGAGGGCAAAAAUAAAAAGUUAUAAGACUUUUAAAUAUGUGGAUUUUAGGGUUAUCUUUGGCGCCCCCUAGAACCUAAACCGUGGGGUGCAGCGUCAUGAUUUGAAUAACUUUUAAUGGCCAUGGGGUGUAGAUUGGCCUGAGCAAAUGUGGUGCCGGUGGAACGAAAGCCUUCGGAGGAGUUAGCGAAAUUCCAAUGUGUGCGUAUCGGCAAAAAAUGCGGAAUAACCCUUUAACUGUACAUUUGACAGAUACGCCCGCACUGACUUUUUUGUAGAUCUUAUUGAGAUACAUGUGUGUGUCAAUUUUUGUGUCAAUAUGACAAAGCGUAAAGGCGUGACAGUCAAUAGUGUGAAUUUUCACCUUAGGGGGCGCUAUGGAGCCAUUUUGCAUUUUCUUGUUUGGGCGACUUCGGAAUAUCAAAUUUUUCACCAGUCCCGGUCAUCCUGCCAAAUUUCAUGAGUUUUCGCCAGUGGGAAGUGGGCCAUUUUCCAGUUCAAAGGGGAGGAAAAAGAAGAAACUAGGGCCCCGGUGGGGCACUGUCGGGCCCGAGCCGCGUCGCGCCGCCCCCAGCGCGACCGCCUCCCCCUCCCGAUCGCGUCACACUCAAGGUCCAAAGAUGGUGUGCGCACUUGUCUGUGGUCAUUUCCCAUUAUAAUGAAUGGGAGGCGCAGUUUCUACCAAAACACUCGCUGCAGACAAACUACAUGUCCUAUUUGAAAAAAGUCUGGACCAUGAGUGAGGGCACAAACACAGCUAGGAUAUAUCCAAAUGGCAAGUUGCUCCUCCUUACGGUGUUGCUGGGAGAGCGAUGCGAUUGAGCCAUUGACCGAUGGGCAGGGUUAACUUGACUUUUUCUCCUGCCUUGGGGGGGCGAUGUGGAUUCUUUUAAGAAUGUGGAUAUUUGGGUCAUCUUUGGCGCCCCCUAGAACGUAAACCGUGGGGAGCAGCGUCAUGAUUUCUACAACUUUGAAUGGCCAUGGGAUGUAGAUCGGCUUGAGCAAAUUUGGUGUUGGUGGGACGAAAGCCUUAGGAGGAGUUAGCCACAUUCCAAUGUGUGCUAAUCGGCAAAAAAUGCAAAAUAGCCCUUUAACCGUACAUUUUACAGAUACGCGCGCAUUGACUUUUUCGUAGAUCUUAUUGAGAUACAUGUGUGUGUCAAAUUUUGUGUCAAUAUGACAAAGCAUACAGGUAUGACAGUCAACAAUGUGUAUUUUCACCUUAUGGGACAAGAAAAAAUGGACUUUUUUCUCCUGCCAUGGGGGGGCGCUCUUUUGGGGAGUAAAAAUUCCUUCACAAAUGUGUUGAUGGCUGGACAUUGCAUCAUCCUAGAAAACUUGGAGGCCAGAGAGGACAAAAAUAAAAAGUUAUAAGACUUUUAAAUAUGUGGAUUUUAGGGUUAUCUUUGGCGCCCCCUAGAACCUAAACCGUGGGGUGCAGCGUCAUGAUUUGAAUAACUUUUAAUGGCCAUGGGGUGUAGAUUGGCCUGAGCAAAUGUGGUGCCGGUGGAACGAAAGCCUUCGGAGGAGUUAGCGAAAUUCCAAUGUGUGCGGAUCGGCAAAAAAUGCGCAAUAACCCUUUAACCGUACAUUUGACAGAUACGCCCGCACUGACUUUUUUGUAGAUCUUAUUGAGAUACAUGUGUGUGUCAAUUUUUGUGUAAUUUUGACAAAGCGUACAGGCGUGACAGUCAAUAGUGUGAAUUUUCACCUUAUGGGACAAGAAAAAAUGGACUUUUUUCUCCUGCCAUGGGGGGGCGCUCUUUUGGGGAGUAAAAAUUCCUUCACAAAUGUGUUGAUGGCUGGACAUUGCAUCAUCCUAGAAAACUUGGAGGCCAGUGAGGGCAAAAAUAAAAAGUUAUAAGACUUUUAAAUAUGUGGAUUUUAGGGUUAUCUUUGGCGCCCCCUAGAACCUAAACCGUGGGGUGCAGCGUCAUGAUUUGAAUAACUUUUAAUGGCCAUGGGGUGUAGAUUGGCCUGAGCAAAUGUGGUGCCGGUGGAACGAAAGCCUUCGGAGGAGUUAGCGAAAUUCCAAUGUGUGCGGAUCGGCAAAAAAUGCGCAAUAACCCUUUAACCGUACAUUUGACAGAUACGCCUGCACUGACUUUUUUGUAGAUCUUAUUGAGAUACAUGUGUGUGUCAAUUUUUGUGUAAUUUUGACAAAGCGUACAGGCGUCAGGUGAAUUUUUCACCUUAGGGGGCGCUAUGGAGCCAUUUUGCAUUGUAUUGUUUGGGCGACUUCAGAAUAUCGAAUUUUUCACCAGGCCCGGUCGUCCUGCCAAAUUUCCUGAGUUUUCGCCAGUGGGAAGUGGGCCAUUUUCCAGUUUAAAGGGGAGGAAAAAUAACUAGGGCCCCGGUGGGGCACUGUCGGGCCCGAGCCGCGUCGCGCCGCCCCCAGCGCGACCGCCUCCCCCUCCCGAUCGCGUCACACUCAAGGUCCAAAGAUGGUGUGCGCACUUGUCUGUGGUCAUUUAUCAUUAUAAUGAAUGGGAGGCGCAGUUUCUACCAAAACACUCACUGCAGACAAACUACAUGUCCUAUUUGAAAAAAGUCUGGACCAUGAGUGAGGGCACAAACACAGCUAGGAUAUAUCCAAAUGGCAGGUUGCUCCUCCUCCUUUUUCGUAGAUCUUAUUGAGAUACAUGUGUGUGUCAAUUUUUGUGUCAUUUUGACAAAGCGUACAGGUGUCACACUCAACAAUGUGAAUUUUCACCUUAGGGGACAAGAAAAAAAUGACUUUUUUCUCCUGCCAUGGGGGGGCGCUCUUUUGGGGAGUAAAAAUUCCUUCACAAAUGUGUUGAUGGCUGGACAUUGCAUCAUCCUAGAAAACUUGGAGGCCAGUGAGGACAAAAAUAAAAAGUUAUAAGACUUUUAAAUAUGUGGAUUUUAGGGUUAUAUUUGGCGCCCCCUAGAACCUAGACCGUGGGGUGCAGCAUCAUAAUUUGAAUAACUUUUAAUGGCCAUGGGGUGUAGAUUGGCCUGAGCAAAUGUGGUGCCGGUGGAACGAAAGCCUUCGGAGGAGUUAGCAAAAUUCCAAUGUGUGCGUAUUGGCCAAAAAAUGCGGAAUAACCCUUUAACCGUACAUUUGACAGAUACGCGCGCAUAGACUUUUUUGUAGAUCUUAUUGAGAUACAUGUGUGUGUCAAUUUUUGUGUCAUUUUGCCAAAGCAUACAGGCGUGACACUCAACAAUGUGUAUUUUCACCUUAGGGGACAAGAAAAAAUGGACUUUUUUCUCCUGCCAUGGGGGGGCGCUCUUUUGGGGAGUAAAAAUUCCUUCACAGAUGUGUUGAUGGCUGGACAUUGCAUCAUCCUAGAAAACUUGGAGGCCAGUGAGGACAAAAAUAAAAAGUUAUAAGACUUUUAAAUAUGUGGAUUUUAGGGUUAUUUUUGGCGCCCCCUAGAACCUAAACCGUGGGGUGCAGCUUCAUGAUUUGAAUAACUUUUAAUGGCCAUGGGGUGUAGAUUGGCCUGAGCAAAUGUGUUGCCGGUGGAAUGAAAGCCUUCGGAGGAGUUAGCGAAAUUCCAAUGUGUGCGGAUCGGCAAAAAAUGCGAAAUUGCCCUUUAACCGUACAUUUUACAGAUACGCGCGCAUUGACUUUUUCGUAGAUCUUAUUGAGAUACACGUGAUUGUCAAAUUUUGUGUCAAUAUGACAAAACAUACAGGCGAAGCACUCAACAAUGUGUAUUUUCACCUUAGUGGACAAGAAAAAAUUGACUUUUUUCUCCUGCCAUGGGGGGCGCUCUUUUGGGGAGUAAAAAUUCCUUCACAAAUGUGUUGAUGGCUGGACAUUGCAUCAUCCUAGAAAACUUAGAGGCCAGUGGGGACAAAAAUAAAAAGUUAUAAGACUUUUAAAUAUGUGGAUUUUAGGGUUAUCUUUGGCGCCCCCUAGAACCUAAACCGUGGGGUGCAGCGUCAUGAUUUGAAUAACUUUUAAUGGCCAUGGGGUGUAGAUUGACCUGAGCAAAUGUUGUGCCGAUGGAACGAAAGUCUUCAGAGGAGUUAGCGAAAUUCCGAUGUGUGUGGAUCGGCAAAAAAUGCGAAAUAACCCUUUAACCGUAAUUUUGACAGAUACGCCCGCACUGACUUUUUUGUAGAUCUUAUUGAGAUACAUGUGUGUGUCAAUUUUUGUGUCAAUAUGACAAAGCGUAAAGGCGUGACAGUCAAUAGUGUGAAUUUUCACCUUAGGGGGCGCUAUGGAGCCAUUUUGCAUUUUAUUGUUUGGGCGACUUCAGAAUAUCGAAUUUUUCACCAGGCCCGGUCGUCCUGCCAAAUUUCAUGAGUUUUCGCCAGUGGGAAGUGGGCCAUUUUCCAGUUCAAAGGGGAGGAAAAAUAAUAAUAAUAACAAAAGAAGGAAACAUGCAGGAACAAGAGGGCUCUCGCAGCUGCUUAGCAGCUACGCUCGGGCCCUAACUAGGGCCCCGUUGGGGCACUGGCGGGCCCGAGCUGUGUCGCGCCGCCCCCAACACGACCGCGUCACACUCAAGGUCCAAAGAUGGUGUUCGCACUUGUCUGUGGUCAUUUACCAUUAUAAUGAAUGGGAGGCGCAGUUUCUACCAAAACGCUCGCUGCAGACAAACUACAUGUCCUAUUUGAAAAAAGUCUGGACCAUGAGUGAGGGCACAAACACAGCUAGGAUAUAUCCAAAUGGCAGGUUGCUCCUCCUUACGGUGUUGCCUGGAGAGCGAUGCGAUUGAGCCAUUGAGCGAUGGGCAGGAAAAACUUGACUUUUUCUCCGGCCAUGGGGGGGCGCUGUUUUGGGGAGUAAAAAUUCCUUCACAAAUGUGUUGAUGGCUAGACAUUGCAUCAUCCUAGAAAACUUGGAGGCCAGUGAGGACAAAAAUAAAAAGUUCUAAGACUUUUAAGAAUGUGGAUUUUUGGGUCCUCUUUGGCGCCCCCUAGAACGUAAACCAUGGGGUGCAGCGUCAUGAUUUUUACAACUUUUAAUGGCCAUGGGGUGUAGAUUGCUCUGAGCAAAUUUGUUGUCAGUGGGACGAAAUCCUUAGGAGGAGUCAGCCACAUUCCAAUGUGUGCGAAUCAGCAAAAAAUGCAAAAUAGCCCUUUAGCCGUACAGUUUACAGAUACGCGUGCAUUGACUUUUUCGUAGAUCUUAUUGAGAUACACGUGUGUGUCAAAUUUUUUGUCAAUAUGACAAAGCGUACAGGCGUGAAUCUCAACAAUGUGUAUUUUCACCUUAGGGGACAAGAAAAAAUUGACUUUUUUUUCCUGCCAUGGGGGGGCGCUCUUUUGGGGAGUAAAAAUUCCUUCACAAAUGUGUUGAUGGCUGGACAUUGCAUCAUCCUAGAAAACUUGGAGGCCAGUGAGGACAAAAAAAAAAAGUUAUAAAACUUUUAAGAAUGUGGAUUUUUGGGUUAUUUUUGGCGCCCCCUAGAACCUAAACCGUGGGGUGCAGCGUCAUGAUUUGUACAACUUUGAAUGGCCAUGGAGUGUAGAUUGGCCUGAGCAAAUGUGGUGCCGGUGGAACGAAAGCCUUCGGAGGAGUUAGCGAAAUUCCAAUGUGUGCAGAUCGGAAAAAAUGCGCAAUAACCCUUUAACCGUACAUUUGACAGAUACGCCCGCACUGACUUUUUUGUAGAUCUUAUUGAGAUACAUGUGUGUGUCAAUUUUUGUGUCAAUAUGACAAAGCGUACAGGCGUGACAGUCAAUAGUGUGAAUUUUCACCUUAGGGGGCGCUAUGGAGCCAUUUUGCAUUUUAUUGUUUGGGCGACUUCAGAAUAUCGAAUUUUUCACCAGGCCCGGUCGUCCUGCCAAAUUUCCUGAGUUUUCGCCAGUGGGAAGUGGGCCAUUUUCCAGUUUAAAGCGGAGGAAAAAUAAUAAUAACUAGGACCCCGUUGGGGCACUGGCGGGCCCGAGCCGUGUCGCGUCCCCCCCAACGUGCUGCCUCCCCGUCCCAUUUGUGUCCUCUGGCCAUCGCCCUCUCUGGUAACGCCCAUCACUGCAAAGACCCUUUUCCUUCAUCGGCGUUUGCUGUUCUUCCUGCCAGUGCGUGUUGCUUUCACUUACACUUGCCACAGCCAGCCUCGUGAGUGCCUAGCCUAUUGGAUAUCACUGUCACCUACACAGGACAGUCAUUACCUUUCUAUUAAUACUUUGUGUUUUAAUUUCACAUUAAUUUCCAUAUUGUAUAAACGACUGGAAAAAACUUGAGCCCCUGCCCCUGUAUAAUCAUGUGCAUGUCUCUGUUCUAGCUCCAAGGUGAAUCUUCACUGCUCAUGUUCUCCUCAGAAGCACUCACCUCACUCCCCUCAGGUUACUGUACACAUGCACCAACUGCCUGCUUCAGGUUUGGAUGGAGCUUCAUGGUUGUCUUUUGGAGAAAUGACCAGUCAAGUUGUGUUUGAAAUUUGAUUUUUUUCAGGGGCAAAAGGAGCCUCUGCAUUCUUGUCAAAUAUGUAAAUAGCAUGUUUUUGCAGGUGCUAAAAACCAGACUCUGAGUGUGUGUGUGUGUGUGUGUGUGUGCGUGUGUGUGUCUGUGUGUGCGUUCAAGUCACAUGACAUAUUUAACCGGAUGUAGCUGCAAGACGGAGCCUCGUUGACUCUCCGUUUCAACUUAUCUCAAAAGUGAGGACCUCAACCUAUAUACCAGUUUUUAAAUUGUGUUGGUAGGCCAAAUAAAACCAGAGUUAUGAUAAAUUAUGUCCGCGAUACUUUUUUUCUGCUUAUUUUGAUCACGUUCGGCGCUCAAUCGCGCUGUAUGAGACAGGAAAACAUAGCAUGCAGACAUUAGCGACAGCUCUUACAGGCGGAAAAGGCUUGCCAAAAGAAAAAAAAAACACACCACAACAUCUCUCCUAUUGGUGGAAAACUUCACCACAACAACCAAUCCAAAAUUAUAUGGUGACUGAUUGACAAGGGGCGGGCGCUUACGUUCUUCCUGCAACAUGAGAAGGGAGGGAGGGACUCUCAGCAGGGAUGCAGUCUGGGACACGUAGUUGCAAACCUAGCGACUUUGUUGUUAGAUUCAAUGACUUUUCAGACCCCCUAACGACUUUUUUUUAGAAAGAAAGGGACUUUUAUCG